Molecule: ribosomal RNA, 461 nt
Filed under: uncultured bacterium
Lineage: Bacteria
Description: bacterial SSU rRNA
Rfam family: Bacterial small subunit ribosomal RNA
Source: RNAcentral
AUUGAACGCUGGCGGCGCGCUUAACACAUGCAAGUCGUGCGGUACCGAUGGCAAGUCUUCUUGACGAGCCUUCGGUAUAGCGGCGGACGGGUGAGUAACACGUGAGUAGCUGUCCUAGGGAGGGGGAUAACGCCUGGAAACGGGUGCUAAAACCCCAUAAGCCUCGAAAGAGGUAAAAGUGCAUCACUGCAGUCCUAGGGUGUGCUCGCGGCCUAUCAGCUAGUUGGUGAGGUAAGGGCUCACCAAGGCCAAGACGGGUAGCCGGCCUGAGAGGGUGUACGGCCACACUGGAAUUGAGAUACGGCCCAGACUCCUACGGGAGGCAGCAGUUGGGAAUCUUAGGCAAUGGACGAAAGUCUGACCUAGCGACGCCGCGUGAGGGAAGAAGGCCUUCGGUUGUAACUCUGUCAUGGGGAAGAAGUAAGUGACGGUACCCAAGAGGAAGCCCUGCUAACUACGUG